This 208-nucleotide unclassified non-coding RNA is filed under the name Hevea brasiliensis (rubber tree). Lineage: Eukaryota; Viridiplantae; Streptophyta; Magnoliopsida; Malpighiales; Euphorbiaceae. The record is from RNAcentral.
CCUCCUCCUGCUCCUGCUCCUGCUAAAGGAGAAAAUGAUGAGGUUUCCUUCAGUGAAUCUUGAUCUUGUUGAGGAGAAGGAUGUGGUGAAUUUGGUUUAUUUCCUUUUCCGCCAUAGGCAAUAUUUUCUGAUUCAGAAAGUACCAUCUUCUUGUGUGAUGGAUACUUAUAAAUGGUUUUGUAUCAAUUAAUCCCUGAUGAAAGUUAAG